Bombus pyrosoma is the source of this 986-nucleotide RNA transcript. RefSeq lists it as uncharacterized. NCBI's taxonomy places the organism in Eukaryota, Metazoa, Arthropoda, Insecta, Hymenoptera, Apidae. The transcript has 3 exons. The record is from RefSeq and is a predicted model, not a curated record.
GUUUAAAUACUUAUGCACGUUAGUGUACGUAAUGAUUCAAUCGUAGGACGAAAUACGGACUUUUAACGUUAAUUUCCUUGUUUGAAUGCUGAUUGCGUUCUUGGCAGUAUUCUUCGAGAAUCGCAAUUGUUUAAAAUAUCAAAGCGUGAUAUUAACAGUGCACAGAAAUUUUUGAGUUCCGAGAUUGAUCGAUACAUAUAUCGAUUAACAUAUUGACGAGAUAACUAAAAAUCGAUCAUCUUUAUCGAUCUUCUUAUCGUCAUUUGCAAUCCUCGAGCCGAUUGAAACGCGGGAAGCAACGUAGAGCAAGUUCAAGCGUACAUAAUGUUAUCGGGCUAUUCGAUCGUGCGAGGUUAAAGAUGCAAGGAGAGUCCUAGGUUAGGCUAAUGAGAUCGUAAACCAUAGAAGGUCGAUGUCAUAUGGUCAAUUCUAUUGUCAACAAUAAUAAAAGAGGCGAUAAUAUAUUAAUACGUAUAUCAUAUUGAAGAAAAUUAGUAAAAGACGUUAUAAAAAUUACUUUAAACAUUAACAAUUACUGACAUCAUACGGGGCGGGGCCGUUGCAGUGCAUCGAAAGAGAAAUUUUUCCGGCGGUUGUUGGCCCAGCCCCACGACGAACGGAUACUAGGGUGUUUCCCACAUGAAUGGCAGAGCAGUGGAGGCACAUUGCAAGCAAGCUGCAGCGCUGCAGUAGGCCUGUGGGCCAAGGUUCUCUCUCUCUCCCUUUUCUUCCUCUCUUCCGUACUCCUUUCUACUUGCUUUUUGUCUUGGAUAUUCUCUUUAUCUCGACUACUUUUACAGAUGAAAAACUGCUUGCAACCAGGAACGAAUCAACAAUCACGACUAGGAAGUUGCGGAAACUUUAAAAUGAGAAGUCACCCAAUCAGCUGAAAUGGCAAUUAGCCAGACCACCUCAUAUUUCAGUUUUGUUUAAUUGUUUAGCACGAUACGUUUUAUUUCCCGGAUGCAGAUGCACUCGUGGUCCCC